GACGAACGCUGGCGGCGUGCUUAACACAUGCAAGUCGAACGAAGUGGCGAAAGGGUGAGUAACGGGUAAUCAACCUGCCCUUCAGAGGGGGACAACAGUUGGAAACGAAUGCUAAUAACGCAUACUGAAGGAGGGGAUUGAGUCUGAUUAGCUAGUUGGGGGGGAAACGGCCCACCAAGGCGAUGAUCAGUAGCCGGUCUGAUAGGAUGAACGGCCACAUUGGGACUGAGACACGGCCCAGACUCCUACGGGAGGCAGCAGUGGGGAAUCGUCCGCAAUGGACGAAAGUCUGACGGAGCAACGCCGCGUGAGUGAUGACGGCCUUCGGGUUGUAAAGCUCUGUUAAUCGGGACGCGGUACCGGAAUAGAAAGCCACGGCUAACUACGUGCCAGCAGCCGCGGUAAUAC
Molecule: ribosomal RNA, 408 nt
Filed under: uncultured bacterium
Lineage: Bacteria
Description: partial 16S ribosomal RNA
Rfam family: Bacterial small subunit ribosomal RNA
Source: RNAcentral